GGCAAAGAUUGUUAUAUCAGGUAUAGCUGAUUGUCCAUUCUAUGCAAUUGCUGAAAAUAUAUGUGAUUAUUUACAAAAAAAUUUGAACGAUUUUCGCGUCACAAAAUACCAAAAAUUGCAAAAAGAAUGGGAUGAAUGGCUUUCAAACGUAUGUAGCACAAAUAAUUGGAACCACAAACGUUCACCGCUUAUAUGGAGAGAACUUGUGAAUGCUGGUGGCAAGGCACUUAUAAUCGGCGGAGUAAAUGAAUUUCAAGAAUAUGCCUUUGAAUAUUAUAAUGUUGUUUGCCAAAUCCCAACAUCGAUGUUAAAAUUAAUUUCAAAAGAAAAUUAUCUUUGGAAAAUAAAAACUGAUAAAAAAG
Long non-coding RNA from Octopus sinensis (East Asian common octopus), 362 nucleotides. RefSeq lists it as uncharacterized. The transcript is spliced from 4 exons. The record is from RefSeq and is a predicted model, not a curated record. NCBI's taxonomy places the organism in Eukaryota, Metazoa, Mollusca, Cephalopoda, Octopoda, Octopodidae.